Molecule: long non-coding RNA, 622 nt
Filed under: Locusta migratoria (migratory locust)
Lineage: Eukaryota; Metazoa; Arthropoda; Insecta; Orthoptera; Acrididae
Description: partial Lnc27743
Source: RNAcentral
CCUCGUCUCAUGAUUUUAUACUGUUGUACUGACCUUCAUGUUUGUAAGGUUCAAAUCGUUAGUAAUGCUUCACUACCUAUAAUUUCCUCAUUUUUGUUUCAAGUCUACAUGAAAUGAUGUGUAGCUUAGUACACUUUUUAAAAGUUUUGUUAUUAUUGAGGACAAUAGUUCAAAUGAUUGUUUUGUAACACAUACUUCAACACUGUUCUGUUAUUCAGAUCGUCCACUUCCUGUAAAAGUCUCUGCCCAAGAAGGUACUGUUAUAUUUUUACCAAUUAUCUAUAUCACGUGGUGAGAAACUAAUACUUCACAGUGCAUAAGUCAUUGAUAACAUCUAAAGACAUUAAGAAACAAAAAACCUGUAACAUCAGCUAUAAAUCAAAAUGUGCAUAUUGUACACUGUACAAAAUUUAGUAUUAAAAAGAUAAAUGCUGCUGCAGAUGCAGUGUUAUAUUGUCUGUUUUCUUAAUUUUAUUUAUAUUGUCUGUUGCCUAAAUUAUAUUAAGAGUGAUGAGCAAUUUCCUGUAAAUGGCGUAUAAAUUGAGGGUUCUUUGUUGACAGCUUUCAAAGUAAAUAUAUUCUUUUUAUUGACUGUAAAAACAUCUAUCAUUUUUUUAAAUAU